GUUACCUUUUCCGGGCCACUCGGUGGGGUUUUGCCCCUUAAUGGGCUCAAACAGCGACGAGAUUCCGUCAAAUAUCCAUCCAUACAUCCCAGACAAAUACGAGAAAAUUGUAACGAGGUUUUCAACGCGGGCCAGGACUAUUUCUCCGCAGUUCUACCCUCAGCUGGGAUUCAACCCGUCCCUCAGUAUGUAGUUGAUCUCUGUGCCAGUUACUGUCAACUCUGUCAUCAGUCUGCAAAAACACAAUGGAAAAAAGAAAAUAAUACAGACACUAGAAGAGCAACUCUCGAAGUGCAAUCACGGUCUCCUGCAAUGCCCUCUUCUCCUGUUGCCAGCUCAUGGGAGGAUUAGAUGAUUUAUCCUGGUGGUGCAGUGGAGCAGAGCCAUCUUCAGCAUGAUGCUGCGACUGAC
This is a long non-coding RNA of Archocentrus centrarchus (flier cichlid), 411 nucleotides long. RefSeq lists it as uncharacterized. NCBI's taxonomy places the organism in Eukaryota, Metazoa, Chordata, Actinopteri, Cichliformes, Cichlidae. The transcript has 3 exons. The record is from RefSeq and is a predicted model, not a curated record.